UAUGGUCGUAUCACGUUGAGACACAUGUUCCCGUAUGAUCACCGAAGUUAAGCAACAUCGAGCUUGGUCAGUAUCUAGAUCCGUAACCGCUUGGGAAUACCAAGUGCUGUAAU
Acanthosepion pharaonis is the source of this 113-nucleotide non-coding RNA. NCBI's taxonomy places the organism in Eukaryota, Metazoa, Mollusca, Cephalopoda, Sepiida, Sepiidae. The record is from the annotation of a GenBank genome assembly.